CAUCUGCAGACUGAGGCCGUUGUUCGUUUAGAGCGAUGCACAGAGUCACCCAGGACGAUUCAUUGUCUUCAGCCAUCCAAGGAUGCCUGCAUCAUCAGCUGGCACGGUGCCGUCAACGUAGUAAAUGGGAAGUCAUGACAAAGCAGUAUGCAUUCAUUCCCAGAGAGACUCUUGCAAGACACUUGCAAACACAUGCAUACACACCUUGUAUAGGUGUAUAAUGUAGAACUAGGCCUGUAUAUUGGAGGGUUCAUAUUAUUAGCUGAUACUUGCUAAGCAAAGAUAUAUCUAUAUCAUUGUAGGUGGUUGUGUAUUAUUAGUAUACCUUCUCAGACAAACUCUCACCGUCCACUUAACCUUUGACAUUCCUCUUUGGUCUAGGUCAUACCAACCCAGUCUCUACUGGAAACGAACACAGUUUCCAUGGGCCAAAAGAUUUACAAGAGCCAGGGGCACAAGGCUCUCAGAGCAGCCGUCCCUCUCAGUUCCUCUCAGUGACUUGAGAAUCACAAAAGAGGCCAGUCAGCUCUGUCCAGGCUGACUCCAGGGUAAACUUCCCCAAGCGCUGAGCUGCAGCUCGCCUUCCACUGGAUGACACCAGUACGGUAGUGAGCGAUAGAUUGCCCGUGUGUAUUUGUGGACCUAUACUGUAUGUGUGUAAUGACUGGCUAUUCAUAUAACCCCCCCAUAACCAACCCUAUCCUGUCUUGCCUCACACCCAUCACCCUCUGCCUCCAGACAAACCCUAUGUAGGUCACUCCAUGUGUUAACACAGCCGCCCAACACGAGGAUUACACUGCAACCCCCAAGAUGGCCAUUUUAGCAGAUUAAUAUCUGCAGAAUAUUUAUCAUAACCCUGUUUUCUAACCGGUUAUUAUCACCUUAUUAUGCAGGUGUUGAUGGUGCUGUCUACAGAAAGUUCUUUAAAUCUACUCAGUUUCUCCACAUCUACCACAAAUGAUGAGAAUGCAGCUUAAUACACCUUUGUGCUGAUUCAUGCUUGCCUCUACUCUUCAUCUGACACUGCAAUUUAAAUUACCACAUCUUAACACAAAGACAUCAAUUGUUGCAUCAUUGCACUUUCCCCGCAUCACCAAAAAUGACCUCAUUCUCCUUCUCUGUGAUGUUCCAGUUGGUGGGUUUCUGUGCUUUGCCACGCAGCUUUCGAUGAUAUAAUUACACGCAGCUCGUCAAAACCCUUCAGCACCGACCGCGCAGUGAUCUGAGCACCUCCUGACAUAAUCUAACCGCCACAUGGCCGUGCCUGCCUCGUCUCAGUCUCUCUCCCUUCCCAGCCUCCUGUUACUGAUCAUUAGUAUUAAGAUGAUAAGCUGUGCCGGCGUGCUUGUUCCCCUGGGUGGCUAAUCACCUGCAGCCGGCAUGCAAGCCCCUAACAUUCAGAGGAAAGCUGAAAACUGUGGGUGAUUGGACACACCAUGCUGUCCGUGGCAGUCAUUUCUCCUCAGGUGUUUAUUUUAUUUAUUUAUUUUUUUUGCAGACGGUAAUUGGGCAGCGGGUGUUCCCUGUUCUGUAACACGAUGUGAAAAGCUGCAGACAGACUGGCAGCUCCAACAGGCACAACUUUAGGUGGACUUUGUUUGAUUUGCACUUUAUUGUCAGAUUUUUUUUCUCUGCUGGACUGUUGGCCUGUUGGAUUACAUACCUAUUAUAUAUACAUUGCUACAUAUGAUAUUGAUUUGAUAUAUUCUGUUAUAUAUUACUUACUAUAUUACACUUCAUAUAUUAUACUAUACUACACCAAUACUGUCUUUUAUACUGUUAUAUUUGAUACCCUUUUCUAUUCCAUCCUAUUGUGUUAAAUUAUACCUUUCACAUUAUACUAUUUACAUAUACGUACAUAGUAUAUCCCAUGACAAUUUAUCAUUUUACACCCGAUUAUGCUAAUGUGUUUUGAAGUUUCUAUAUCAUAGUUGUAUUACAUCUCUAUAUUAAUAGAGACAAACACUAAGUGCCAUUAUUUAAUCAAAUCAUCAGUCUGGUACAUUGGUAAUAGACUUAAUGACUCUGCUGCUAUUAAUCACCACUGUGACUUUACCUUGCUAUGUUUGUCUUCAUAUGUUCUUAUAUAGUUUUUCUAUUUUUUGUUUUAUUCUUAUUUUAGUUUAGUUUUUUAUGUACCUCUUAUUUAUUAUUUUACUUUCUCAAUUAGCUGUACUAUUGCUGUCUUUGUGCUACUGUAACAACUGAAUUUUACCUCUGGGGAUCAAGAAAGGUUUAUGUUAGCCUAUAGAUUAUGUCUAGAACAUAACAGAAAAUGCCAAAUGUUGAGGAAACAUUAAAUAUAUUAUUUUGUUUGUGUGAGCCUUACAGACACGAUGAUAAACAACCAUCAACAUUAAAAUCCUGCAAUCCUACUCAGCAGAACUGGGAAUUGGUAUUUAAGGCUAUGGGAGAAAAUGGCUUCAUUCCAUCAGGAAAGAGAGACUGGGACAUCAACGUGAACAAAAGGCCUAAAUAUGAAUAUCAAGACACGUCAGUCAAAGAAGAGCCCAAUUUCCAAGAAACCUACUUAAUAAGAAAACCCAAAUAGCACUUCAAAUGAAACUGUAUCACCAAGUGCUUCAUUUACCUCCUAUUCAUAAUCCUUUUGUAUACCGGAUCGCAGCCAUAUAAUCUAUCAAAAUCAGUAUUCUUCAGCAGUGCUGCGCAGAGGAUGUGUUAAGGGCUUUUUGUAUAACACAGGAUGUUAAGAGGGAGAUGAGGAAUGAGACACAAGUGAGAGAACAUGGAGCACAAAGUCAUGACGGAAUCAUAAUGAUCGCAAGCAGGAAUUAGAACUUCUAGUCCUCUUCAGGGGAUACACACAUGCACACACACACACGCACACACACUCAGUGGCUCACUUCAAUAGGUACCUUUUUUAAGCAAACAGCUUGCUCCUAUGUAAGUGUCUGAUAUUAUAGCUAUGUGAAUGAGGCAGAUGUAUAAAGCACGUAGACUAAGUCGAGAGGUCAGUUAAUGUUUGCUCAAAUAUCAGACUGAGUAAAGUGACUCAUUAUGAUCAUUAGGGAUCAAUUCAUCAACUCCUGUGUUUUGGUCACAGGCGACAUCUUAAGAUUUGAAGUGAAAACUCUGACCUGCUGGUGGCACUUACAGUAAAAGUCACAGGAUCACCGAAGUCAGUAGGAUUCAUCUUCUGGGAACAUCAUCGCACUCCAUCCAAUAGUUGUUGAGAUAUUUCAGUCUGGACCACAGUGGAAGGCCGAUCAUCCAACCUACAUUGUUAUCCCAAGAGCCACGAUGCUAGCAUGGCUAAAUGGAGUGAAAAUUGCCUGAUGAAACCUUGUUUCUAUGUUGAUGAUAGGGUCAGAAUUUGGCAUAAACAACCUAAACCCAUGGAUCAUGUCUGGUGUCAUCAGCACAGACUGUUGCAGGUGUUUGCUGUCCUGGUUCCUAAAUAGUGGAACAAGCUCCCCAUUGACAUCAGGACAGCUGAAAGUCUACACAUCUUCUGCCACAGGUUAAAAAAACAUCUCUUCCGACUGCACC
Perca fluviatilis (European perch) is the source of this 3510-nucleotide long non-coding RNA. RefSeq lists it as uncharacterized. NCBI's taxonomy places the organism in Eukaryota, Metazoa, Chordata, Actinopteri, Perciformes, Percidae. The transcript has 4 exons. The record is from RefSeq and is a predicted model, not a curated record.